RNAcentral lists this transfer RNA (56 nucleotides) under Bos taurus (domestic cattle). It matches the Rfam family "tRNA", at positions 8 to 63 of the family's 71-position model. From Rfam's summary of the family: Transfer RNA (tRNA) molecules are approximately 80 nucleotides in length. Their secondary structure includes four short double-helical elements and three loops (D, anti-codon, and T loops). Further hydrogen bonds mediate the characteristic L-shaped molecular structure. tRNAs have two regions of fundamental functional importance: the anti-codon, which is responsible for specific mRNA codon recognition, and the 3' end, to which the tRNAs corresponding amino acid is attached (by aminoacyl-tRNA synthetases). tRNAs cope with the degeneracy of the genetic code in two manners: having more than one tRNA (with a specific anti-codon) for a particular amino acid; and 'wobble' base-pairing, i.e. permitting non-standard base-pairing at the 3rd anti-codon position. Lineage: Eukaryota; Metazoa; Chordata; Mammalia; Artiodactyla; Bovidae. The record is from Rfam by way of RNAcentral. RNAcentral also lists the same sequence under 4 other names.
UGGCUCAGAGGGUAGAGCGUCUGCCUGCAAUGCAGGAGACCUGGGUUUGAUCCCUG